RNAcentral lists this ribosomal RNA (745 nucleotides) under Cyclocybe aegerita. Its description in RNAcentral is "partial large subunit ribosomal RNA". It matches the Rfam family "Eukaryotic large subunit ribosomal RNA", at positions 76 to 787 of the family's 3401-position model. Lineage: Eukaryota; Fungi; Basidiomycota; Agaricomycetes; Agaricales; Hemipholiotaceae. The record is from RNAcentral.
UCCCCUAGUAACUGCGAGUGAAGCGGGAAAAGCUCAAAUUUUAAAUCUGGCGGUCCUUUGCGGCCGUCCGAGUUGUAAUCUAGAGAAGUGCUUACCCGCGCUGGACCGUGUACAAGUCUCCUGGAAUGGAGCGUCAUAGAGGGUGAGAAUCCCGUCUUUGACACGGACUGCCAGGGCUUAUGUGGUGCGCUCUCGAAGAGUCGAGUUGUUUGGGAAUGCAGCUCUAAAUGGGUGGUAAAUUCCAUCUAAAGCUAAAUACAGGCGAGAGACCGAUAGCGAACAAGUACCGUGAGGGAAAGAUGAAAAGAACUUUGGAAAGAGAGUUAAACAGUACGUGAAAUUGCUGAAAGGGAAACGUUUGAAGUCAGUCGCGUUGGCUGGGGAUCAACCUUGCUCUUGCAGGGCGCACUCUCUGGUUUCGACGGGUCAGCAUCAGUUUUGGUCGCUGGAGAAAGGCUAAGGGAAUGUGGCAUUGCUUCGGUGAUGUGUUAUAGCCCUUGGUUGUAUGCAGCGGUUGGGACUGAGGAACUCAGCGCGCGCCUCUCAAAGGGUGCCGGGUCUUUGACCACGUACGCGCUUAGGAUGCUGGCAUAAUGGCUUUAAGCGACCCGUCUUGAAACACGGACCAAGGAGUCUAACAUGCUUGCGAGUGUUUGGGUGGAAAACCCGAGCGCGUAAUGAAAGUGAAAGUUGGGAACCCUGUCGUGCGGUGCACCGACGCCCGGACCAGACCUUCUUGCGACGG